Molecule: ribosomal RNA, 3258 nt
Filed under: Triticum aestivum (bread wheat)
Lineage: Eukaryota; Viridiplantae; Streptophyta; Magnoliopsida; Poales; Poaceae
Description: partial small subunit ribosomal RNA
Source: RNAcentral
AUGGCAGAUAAUGGUAAAGCAAAGUCAGGCUCAGGAGGAGCCUAUACAAUCAAUCUAGAGACCUUCAGUAAGCGGCUUAAGGUGUUUUAUGACCAUUGGAACGGAAACAAGUCUGAUCUUUGGGCUUCUUCUGAUGCCAUUGCAAUUGCUACUCCGCCUCCUUCUGAGGAUCUCCGUUAUUUGAAAUCCACAGCCCUGGAUGUUUGGUUGCUUGGGUAUGAAUUUCCAGAAACCAUAAUUGUCUUCAUGCAGAAGCAGAUACAUUUCUUAUGCAGCCAGAAGAAAGCAAAUCUCAUUGGAACCCUCAAGGAUGCUGCAAGUGAGGCUGUUGGUUCUGAUAUUGUCUUGCAUGUGAAAAGCAAGAACGGGGAUGGCAUUGACCUGAUGGAUGACAUACUGCGUGCUGUUUCUGCUGAGUCGAAAUCUGACACUCCAGUUGUUGGUCACAUUGCAAAAGAGGCACCUGAGGGUAAGCUCCUUGAAACAUGGGCAGAAAAGUUAGCUGGUGGAUCUGUACAACUUGCAGAUGUAACACAUGGGUUUUCUGAGCUUUUUGCCGUGAAAGACGCCACAGAGAUCAUAUGUGUGAAGAAGGCUGCUUACCUAACUUCAUCUGUGAUGAAAAACUUUGUGGUACCGACCAUGGAGAAGGUUAUUGAUGAGGAGAGAAAAGUCUCACACUCCUCAUUGAUGGAUGACACAGAGAAGGUUAUUCUUGAUCCUUUGAAGGCCAAGGUGAAGUUGAAGCCUGAAAAUAUUGAUAUUUGCUACCCUCCUGUCUUCCAAAGUGGAGGGAAGUUUGAUCUUAGGCCAGGUGCCUCCAGCAAUGAUGAUUAUCUCUACUAUGAUCCUGCAAGUAUUAUCAUCUGUGCAAUUGGGUCCAGGUACAGUAACUACUGUUCCAAUGUUGCCAGAACAUUUUUGAUAGAUGCUACCCCGGCACAGAGUAAGGCGUAUGAGACACUUCUGAAAGCUCAGGAAGCUGCUUUAGCAGCAUGUAAACCAGGCAAUCAGAUGUCUGCAGUUUUUAAGGCUGCAGUUGCAGUGUUUGAGAAGAAUGCCCCUGAACUGCUUCCUAAUCUAACAAAGUCAGCUGGAACUGGAAUUGGCCUUGAGUUCCGAGAAUCUGGCUUAAACUUGAAUGCCAAGAAUGACCGUCUGAUAAAAGAGGGAAUGAUUUUCAAUGUCAACCUUGGUUUGAGUAAUAUACAGGCAGAAACAAACAAUGAGAAGACAAAGCAGUUCUCUUUGUUAUUAGCUGAUACAGCUUUAGUUAAUGACAAGGCUGCAGAGAUCUUGACCAAUUGCUCCAAGGCUGUUAAAGAUGUUGCGUAUUCAUUUAAUGAAGAUGAGGAGGAAGUUCCGAAGCCGAAGAGGGCUAAGGUUGAGCCAAAUGGCGUGGAAGCACUACCAUCCAAGGCAACACUUCGGUCAGACAACCAGGAGAUGUCCAAGGAAGAGCUCCGGAGACAGCACCAGGCUGAACUUGCUCGUCAAAAGAAUGAAGAGACUGCUAGAAGGCUUGCUGGGGGUGGUUCUGGUAAUGGUGAUGGCCGCGGUCCUUCUAGGAAUUCAAAUGAGCUUGUUGCGUACAAGAAUGUGAAUGAUGUACCUUAUUCGAGAGAGUUGGUGAUACAAGUAGAUCAGAGGAAUGAAGCUGUUCUCUUACCUAUAUAUGGCAGUAUGGUCCCUUUCCAUGUUUCUACUGUUAAGAGUGUGACCAGCCACCAGGACAACCGCACCUGCACUAUCCGCAUUUUCUUCAAUGUACCUGGCAUGCCAUUCUCAAAUGACAAAGAUCUGAAGUCUCAAGGAGCGAUCUACUUGAAAGAGAUUACAUUCCGCUCAAAGGAUCCACGGCAUAGCAGUGAAGUUGUCCAGCAGAUCAAAACAUUGAGGAGGCAAGUAGCUUCAAGGGAGUCAGAGAGAGCCGAAAGGGCCACCCUUGUUACCCAGGAGAAGCUCCAGCAGGCAAGCAACAAAACAAAGCAAAUGAGGCUUAAUGAUGUCUGGAUAAGGCCUCCAUUUGGUGGUCGUGGGAGAAAGCUGACAGGAACUCUUGAGGCCCAUGUUAAUGGUUUCAGAUAUUCUACCUCACGGGCUGAUGAGCGUGUGGAUAUCAUGUAUGGGAAUAUAAAACAUGCUUUCUUCCAGCCAGCAGAGAAAGAAAUGAUUACUCUCCUUCAUUUCCAUCUGCAUAAUCAUAUCAUGGUUGGAAACAAGAAGACGAAGGAUGUGCAGUUUUAUGUUGAAGUGAUGGAUGUUGUUCAAACUGUUGGUGGCAGCAGGAGGUCAGCCCUUGACCCUGAUGAGAUUGAAGAAGAGCAGCGUGAGAGGGACCGCAAGAACAGAAUCAACAUGGAGUUCCAGAACUAUAUCAACAAGGUUAACGACCACUGGUCGCAACCACAGUUCAAGGGGCUUGAUCUGGAGUUUGACAUCCCUCUUAGAGAGCUCGGGUUCCAUGGUGUCCCGUAUAAAGCUUCAGCUUUCAUCAUUCCAACUUCAACUUGUUUGGUUGAGCUGAUUGAGACUCCCUUCCUGGUGGUGACCCUGGGUGAGAUAGAGAUUGUUAAUCUGGAGAGGGUGGGCUUUGGAACAAAGAACUUUGACAUGGCUAUCGUGUUCAAGGACUUCAAGAAGGAUGUUCUCCGCAUCGACUCCAUCCCGUCAACCUCACUUGACGCGAUAAAGGAGUGGCUUGACACCACUGAUCUCAAGUACUAUGAGAGCAGGCUGAAUCUGAACUGGCGCCCUAUCCUGAAGACUAUCAUUGAUGAUCCCCAGAAGUUUGUUGACGAUGGUGGCUGGGAGUUCCUGAACAUGGAGGCAAGUGAUUCUGAGGCAGAGGAAACAGAGGAAUCAGACCAGGGGUAUGAGCCUUCUGAUGCUGAGCCUGAGUCUGAAUCAGAAGAGGAAGACUCUGACAGCGCGUCGUUGGUGGAAUCAGAUGAGGAUGAGGAAGAGGAUUCUGAUGAAGACUCUGAGGAAGAGAAGGGCAAGACCUGGGACGAGCUGGAGCGGGAGGCGACCAACGCGGACCGGGAUCAUGGCGCAGAGUCAGACAGCGAGGAAGAAAGGAGGCGCCGCAAGGUCAAGACCUUCAGCAAGUCCGGUGCACCACCGCAGCGUGGUCCUAGCAGCAGCAAGCAUGCUCCGCUGCCACAGCGUGGUGGCAGCAGCAGCGGCAACAAGUCUCGCCCGCCUCCCAGUAGCUCCAAGGGAGGGCCGCCCUCGAAGAAGCCGAAGUUCAGGUGA